Molecule: transfer RNA, 81 nt
Filed under: Mesorhizobium sp. 131-2-5
Lineage: Bacteria; Pseudomonadati; Pseudomonadota; Alphaproteobacteria; Hyphomicrobiales; Phyllobacteriaceae
Description: tRNA-Leu
Source: RNAcentral
GCGCCGUAUGGUCGAGGGUGACGCGCCGAUGAGAUCGAUGAGUUCCUGAACGCCGACGGUUCCUUCCCGUUUAAGGCAUUC